UACGUAGGGUGCGAGCGUUGUCCGGAAUUACUGGGCGUAAAGAGCUCGUAGGUGGUUUGUCGCGUUGUUCGUGAAAACUCACAGCUCAACUGUGGGCGUGCGGGCGAUACGGGCAGACUGGAGUACUGCAGGGGAGACUGGAAUUCCUGGUGUAGCGGUGGAAUGCGCAGAUAUCAGGAGGAACACCGGUGGCGAAGGCGAGUCUCUGGGCAGUAACUGACGCUGAGGCGCGAAAGCCAGGGGAGCAAACGGG
This 253-nucleotide ribosomal RNA is filed under the name uncultured bacterium. RNAcentral describes it as "partial 16S ribosomal RNA". It matches the Rfam family "Bacterial small subunit ribosomal RNA", at positions 524 to 776 of the family's 1533-position model. The record is from RNAcentral.